CCAAACGUUGGUCGAGGAGGUCAGCUCAGAUCCUCACAAACAAAUUCUCGAAGCUACUUACGGGUGAACUGACCAGUGGAAAGGAACCAAGCAAGACUAUACAGAAAGGGCUAUCUUCACACCAAGGAACGAAACGGUGGAUGAGAUCAAUGAAUACAUGAUAUCUGAAGCUGACAGUGUUUCAAAGGAAUAUCUCAGUUCCGAUAGCUUCGGUAUAAUAGACACCGACUCUGCGAACAACGAGACAUUGUACCCAGUAGAGUAUUCAAACUCACUGAGCUUUCGAGGCCUGCCUGCACAUAAGCUUACAUUGAAAGUGGGUGCCCCUUUCAUGCUCCUAAGGAAUUUAAAUCAAAAGAAGGGGUUAUGCAACGGAACACGUCUGAUUGUCACUUACCUAGGUGAGCGUGUUAUUAGAGGUGAAAUAGUUACAGGCUCCCAUAUUGGACAUAAAGUGGACCUUCCAAGAAUCAUACUAUCGGAAUCAGUAACUAAACAUCCGUUCACCCUAGAAAGGCGGCAAUUUCCGAUCAGGCUAUGUUACGCAAUGACAAUUAACAAAAGUCAGGGUCAGAGUUUGAAAGGUGUCGUACUGUAUUUGCCACAGCCCGUUUUCACCCAUGGGCAGCUCUAUGUUGGUCUUUCCCGAGUUACUACCAAGUCAGGCCUCAAAAUUAUACAAGGAAAGGAUCAAAAGAUAGGAAGGGUCAAAAACAUUGUCUACAAAGAAAUAUACAACGGUUUACCAGGUAAUCAAAUAUUAUUUGCAACCCAAUUCACAACAUUAUCCAAAAAUACUCAACUCCUUUCUCUCUCUCCUCCAGAAUCACGAUCCGAUGAUCACCCAGAGCAGGCUACCCGGAAUCUUCAACAACUUUCUAUACCAUAAGAUGCAAUCUACCAGUCCGCCCGCAAUAGAAAGUGGCAGCUCUACAAGACCAUUCACAAUAAACCUACCAGCCAUCGUCUACGUCUUAUCUUAUUUUAUUUCUUUUUCGUUACCUACCAAAUACUAUUUCCUUCGAACAAUUACUUAUUUCAACUGUCCAACUAUUUUCUUUUGCAUUUUCUAUUAUUUCAGACAAUUUUUUAUUUCAACUGUUUUCUAUAACAAUGUGCGAACGCCAAAGUUCCCUUUAAUCUUAAAAUAGUUCGACCAAGAUAACAAACCCCCCUCAUUUCACACACAGCCCCUGUAAAUUUCCUUAAAAAAAAACAAAAUUCUACUAUCAAACUCAGCCAACAAAUUUACUACUACCAGCUUUAAUUAUGGCCCGGCCUACUUAAACUUUUAAAAAAACCAUGUCAAUACUUAAAAAAAAAAA
Long non-coding RNA from Brassica rapa (field mustard), 1325 nucleotides. RefSeq lists it as uncharacterized. The record is from RefSeq and is a predicted model, not a curated record. NCBI's taxonomy places the organism in Eukaryota, Viridiplantae, Streptophyta, Magnoliopsida, Brassicales, Brassicaceae.